CAGACGUCUCGCACGGUCUCAAAACAGGUUUUGUUGUUCCGUUCCACUCUUUCAUAACAAGGCCAAACUUAACCGAGGAUAAUCGAGAGUCUGGGUCCGACGGGAGAGCGCUCCAAUCGAAAGGCUCUGAUCUACAGGAAAACUAAACAUGUGCCAUAAUAAUGUUUUAUAUGCCACAUAAACAUUUUAAUAGACCUCCUGAAAUGCUGACUCAUUUGUCUGGCAGACAAAAUAAAGAUGGCUCGUGAAAACAUUUGGCUUGACCUUUACCACCCAGAAUAACCCGCAACUCAUGGGGCUUGCCUGCCGAUUCAAGUAGAUUCUGGUAGACCAAAUAUUAUCUCGAACUUCGGCGUUGAAAAAACAAAAUCCUUCAUUUUAAUGUUACAUUCGUAUAUCAACGGUGUGAAACGGCCUAAGGUCAUAAUAAUGACAGCUUCCUUUUCCCUUUUUUAUUCUUCAUGGUUUUUUUUUUCAUAGUUACUGUUCCUUACACAUUGCGUUUCCGAGUGGCAC
Molecule: long non-coding RNA, 516 nt
Organism: Tigriopus californicus
Lineage: Eukaryota; Metazoa; Arthropoda; Copepoda; Harpacticoida; Harpacticidae
Exons: 4
Source: RefSeq, a predicted model, not a curated record